Molecule: ribosomal RNA, 476 nt
Filed under: uncultured bacterium
Lineage: Bacteria
Description: bacterial SSU rRNA
Rfam family: Bacterial small subunit ribosomal RNA
Source: RNAcentral
GAACGCUAGCGGCAGGCUUAACACAUGCAAGUCGAGGGGUAUAGGGAGCUUGCUUCCUAGAGACCGGCGCACGGGUGCGUAACGCGUAUGCAAUCUACCUUUGCAGAGGGAUAGCCCAGAGAAAUUUGGAUUAAUACCUCAUAGUAUAGCAGUUUCGCAUGAAACCACUAUUAAAGUCACAACGGCAAAAGAUGAGCAUGCGUCCCAUUAGCUUGUUGGUAAGGUAACGGCUUACCAAGGCAACGAUGGGUAGGGGUCCUGAGAGGGAGAUCCCCCACACUGGUACUGAGACACGGACCAGACUCCUACGGGAGGCAGCAGUGAGGAAUAUUGGACAAUGGGCGCAAGCCUGAUCCAGCCAUGCCGCGUGCAGGAUGACGGUCCUAUGGAUUGUAAACUGCUUUUGUACAGGAAGAAACACUGGUUCGUGAACCGGCUUGACGGUACUGUAAGAAUAAGGAUCGGCUAACUCCGUG